UCGGGAAUUUUGGGCAAUGGGCGAAAGCCUGACCCAGCAACGCCGCGUGAGGGAUGAAGUAUUUCGGUAUGUAAACCUCGAAGGAAUGGGAAGAAUAAAUGACGGUACCAUUUAUAAGCUCCGGCUAACUACGUGCCAGCAGCCGCGGUAAUACGUAGGGAGCGAGCGUUGUUCGGAUUUACUGGGCGUAAAGGGCGCGUAGGCGGCGCGGUAAGUCACUUGUGAAAUCUCUGAGCUUAACUCAGAACGGCCAAGUGAUACUGCUGUGCUUGAGUGCGGAAGAGGCAACCGGAAUUCUUGGUGUAGCGGUGAAAUGCGUAGAUAUCAAGAGGAACACCUGAGGCGAAGGCGGGUUGCUGGGCCGACACUGACGCUGAUGCGCGAAAGCCAGGGGAGCAAACG
This 402-nucleotide ribosomal RNA is filed under the name uncultured bacterium. RNAcentral describes it as "bacterial SSU rRNA". It matches the Rfam family "Bacterial small subunit ribosomal RNA", at positions 355 to 774 of the family's 1533-position model. The record is from RNAcentral.